Molecule: ribosomal RNA, 468 nt
Filed under: uncultured bacterium
Lineage: Bacteria
Description: partial 16S ribosomal RNA
Rfam family: Bacterial small subunit ribosomal RNA
Source: RNAcentral
GACGAACGCUGGCGGCGUGCUUAACACAUGCAAGUCGAACGGAAAGGCCCUGCCUUUGUGGGGUGCUCGAGUGGCGAACGGGUGAGUAACACGUGAGUAACCUGCCCUUGACCUUGGGAUAACUUCAGGAAACUGGGGCUAAUACCGGAUAGGAGCUCCUGCUGCAUGGUAGGGGUUGGAAAGUUUCGGCGGUUGGGGAUGGACUCGCGGCUUAUCAGCUUGGUGGUGGGGUAGUGGCUUACCAAGGCUUUGACGGGUAGCCGGCCUGAGAGGGUGACCGGACACAUUGGGACUGAGAUGCGGCCCAGACUCCUACGGGAGGCAACGGUGGAGAAUAUUGCACAAUGGGCGGAAGCCUGAUGCAGCAAAGCCGCGUGCGGGAUGACGGCCUUCGGGUUGUGAACCGAUUUCGCCUGUGACGAGGCGUGAGUGACAGUAAUGGGUAAAGAAGCACCGGCUAACUACGUG